AGUGAACGCUGGCGGUAGGCCUAACACAUGCAAGUCGAACGGCAGCACAGUAAGAGCUUGCUCUUACGGGUGGCGAGUGGCGGACGGGUGAGGAAUACAUCGGAAUCUACUUUUUCGUGGGGGAUAACGUAGGGAAACUUACGCUAAUACCGCAUACGACCUACGGGUGAAAGCAGGGGAUCUUCGGACCUUGCGCGAUUGAAUGAGCCGAUGUCGGAUUAGCUAGUUGGCGGGGUAAAGGCCCACCAAGGCGACGAUCCGUAGCUGGUCUGAGAGGAUGGUCAGCCACACUGGAACUGAGACACGGUCCAAGCUCCUACGGGAAGCAGCAGUGGGGAAUAUUGGACAAUGGGCGCAAGCCUGGUCCAGCCAUACCGCGUGGGUGAAGAAGGCCUUCGGGUUUUAAAGCCCUUUUGUUGGGGAAGAAAAGCAGCAGGUUAAUACCCCGCUGUUCUGACGGUACCCAAAGAAUAAGCACCGGCUAACUUCGUG
RNAcentral lists this ribosomal RNA (492 nucleotides) under uncultured bacterium. RNAcentral's name for it is "partial 16S ribosomal RNA". It matches the Rfam family "Bacterial small subunit ribosomal RNA", at positions 29 to 507 of the family's 1533-position model. The record is from RNAcentral.